UACGAAGGGGGCUAGCGUUGUUCGGAAUUACUGGGCGUAAAGCGCACGUAGGCGGACUUGUCAGUCAGGGGUGAAAUCCCGAGGCUUAACCUCGGAACUGCCUUUGAUACUGCAAGUCUUGAGGAUGAGAGAGGUAAGUGGAACUGCGAGUGUAGAGGUGAAAUUCGUAGAUAUUCGCAAGAACACCAGUGGCGAAGGCGGCUUACUGGCUCAUUUCUGACGCUGAGGUGCGAAAGCGUGGGGAGCAAACAGG
RNAcentral lists this ribosomal RNA (253 nucleotides) under Terrihabitans soli. RNAcentral describes it as "partial 16S ribosomal RNA". It matches the Rfam family "Bacterial small subunit ribosomal RNA", at positions 524 to 776 of the family's 1533-position model. Lineage: Bacteria; Pseudomonadati; Pseudomonadota; Alphaproteobacteria; Hyphomicrobiales. The record is from RNAcentral. RNAcentral also lists the same sequence under 2 other names.